This 255-nucleotide ribosomal RNA is filed under the name uncultured bacterium. Its description in RNAcentral is "partial 16S ribosomal RNA". It matches the Rfam family "Bacterial small subunit ribosomal RNA", at positions 524 to 776 of the family's 1533-position model. The record is from RNAcentral.
UACGUAGGGGGCAAGCGUUGUCCGGAUUUAUUGGGCGUAAAGAGCGUGUAGGCGGCCAUACAGGUCAGCUGUGAAAACUCGAGGCUCAACCUCGAGACGUCGGUUGAAACCGUAUGGCUAGAGUCCGGAAGAGGAGAGUGGAAUUCCCGGUGUAGCGGUGAAAUGCGCAGAUAUCGGGAAGAACACCCGUGGCGAAGGCGGCUCUCUGGGACGGUACUGACGCUGAGACGCGAAAAGCGUGGGGGAGCGAACAGG